GGAAAUUUGGGGAAUUCAGAGGAUGGAUUGGUGCCUUCGGGAACAUUGAGACAGGUGCUGCAUGGCUGUCGUCAGCUCGUGUCGUGAGAUGUUGGGUUAAGUCCCGUAACGAGCGCAACCCUUGUCCUUAGUUACCAGCACGUAAUGGUGGGCACUCUAAGGAGACUGCCGGUGACAAACCGGAGGAAGGGGGGGAUGACGUCAAGUCAUCAUGGCCCUUACGGCCUGGGCUACACACGUGCUACAAUGGUCGGUACAGAGGGUUGCCAASCCGCGAGGUGGAGCUAAUCCCAUAAAACCGAUCGUAGUCCGGAUCGCAGUCUGCAACUCGACUGCGUGAAGUCGGAAUCGCUAGUAAUCGCGAAUCAAAAUGUCGCGGGGAAUACGUUCCCGGGUCUUGUACACACAGAA
RNAcentral lists this ribosomal RNA (411 nucleotides) under Pseudomonas fluorescens. RNAcentral describes it as "bacterial SSU rRNA". It matches the Rfam family "Bacterial small subunit ribosomal RNA", at positions 982 to 1394 of the family's 1533-position model. The record is from RNAcentral. Lineage: Bacteria; Pseudomonadati; Pseudomonadota; Gammaproteobacteria; Pseudomonadales; Pseudomonadaceae.